RNAcentral lists this transfer RNA (78 nucleotides) under Karstenula rhodostoma CBS 690.94. It matches the Rfam family "tRNA". Rfam says of the family: Transfer RNA (tRNA) molecules are approximately 80 nucleotides in length. The record is from Rfam by way of RNAcentral. Lineage: Eukaryota; Fungi; Ascomycota; Dothideomycetes; Pleosporales; Didymosphaeriaceae.
GCCCGCAUGGCUCAGUGGUAGAGCGUAUCACUAGUAGCCGCUAUGAUAAGGUCAUCAGUUCGAUUCUGAUUGUGGGCA